GAAAUGCGAUAAGUAAUGUGAAUUGCAGAAUUCAGUGAAUCAUCGAAUCUUUGAACGCACAUUGCGCCCGCCAGUAUUCUGGCGGGCAUGCCUGUUCGAGCGUCAUUACAACCCUCAGGCCCCCGGGCCUGGCGUUGGGGAUCGGCGGAAGCCCCCUGCGGGCACAACGCCGUCCCCCAAAUACAGUGGCGGUCCCGCCGCAGCUUCCAUUGCGUAGUAGCUAACACCUCGCAACUGGAGAGCGGCGCGGCCACGCCGUAAAACACCCAACUUCUGAAUGUUGACCUCAAAUCAGGUAGGAAUACCCGCUGAACUUAAGC
RNAcentral lists this unclassified non-coding RNA (320 nucleotides) under plant metagenome. RNAcentral describes it as "partial contains 5.8S ribosomal RNA, internal transcribed spacer 2, and large subunit ribosomal RNA". The stretch from base 1 to 105 matches the Rfam family "5.8S ribosomal RNA", at positions 50 to 154 of the family's 154-position model. The record is from RNAcentral.